This is a non-coding RNA of Cicer arietinum (chickpea), 904 nucleotides long. NCBI's taxonomy places the organism in Eukaryota, Viridiplantae, Streptophyta, Magnoliopsida, Fabales, Fabaceae. The record is from RefSeq and is a predicted model, not a curated record.
AUAGUCGUUGAACGUUGACGGAGGGAGGAAGGAAACUCGUGAACAAAAAAAAAAAAUGCAAUUUAUUUUAUAUUCUCUUUCGGUCUACGGGAAUAUCAUCAAUAGCAACAUAGCAUAGCUAACUUAGUGUGCCUCUAAAUUCACGGAUUGCAUUGCAUAACCCUAAUCUCUCCUCUCAACGUCUUCAAUUCAUUGAAGUUUUACAAUUUUGUGCUUUCCAAACAAUUACAUGGGCAAUUGUGUGGUUAAGUCUCAAUCUCAAUCAAAAGAUGAUGAUUCUGUUUAUAAAGUGGAAUUUGCUUCUGGUAAUGUGCAACUUAUUACUACCAAAGAAUCUUGGGACCAAAAGUUAGAACAAGCAAGGGGAGAUGGAAAAAUUGUUAUUGCAAAUUUCAGUGCAACAUGGUGUGGUCCUUGUAAGACAAUUGCACCGUAUUAUUGCGAGUUAUCAGAGAAAUAUCCAUCCAUUAUGUUCUUAUUAAUUGACGUGGAUGAGCUAACUGACUUUAGCACAUCCUGGGACAUUAAAGCCACACCAACUUUCUUCUUUCUUAGAGAUGGACAAGAGAUUGACAAACUAGUAGGAGCCAACAAACCAGAGCUGGAGAAGAAGAUUGCUUCAGUUUCCCAGUAUCAAUAACGAUUUUAGUAUUGUCUGGAUUCAUAAAAGUUAUGUUCAGCUCUUCUCUCUUCACAAUCUGUGAUGUGAAUAUGAAGAUUGGGAAAGCAAUCAUAUACCAACAAGUGAAAUGGAGGAAGCUGAAUGGAAGAUGGUGCAAAGGAAAGGAAAUCAGUUUGUGGUGAAUGAGCAACCUUUCUAUGUAAACGGAUUCAACACUUAUUGGUUGAUGGUAUUUGGUGCGGAUGAGUCCACAAGAGGAAAAGUCACUCAAGUUUUCAAACA